RNAcentral lists this ribosomal RNA (429 nucleotides) under Bacillota bacterium. RNAcentral describes it as "Firmicutes bacterium partial 16S ribosomal RNA". It matches the Rfam family "Bacterial small subunit ribosomal RNA", at positions 355 to 776 of the family's 1533-position model. Lineage: Bacteria; Bacillati; Bacillota. The record is from RNAcentral.
UAGGGAAUCUUCGGCAAUGGACGGAAGUCUGACUGAGCAACGCUGCGUGAGUGAAGAAGGUUUUCGGAUCGUAAAGCUCUGUUGUUAGAGAAGAACGUUGGUAGGAGUGGAAAAUCUACCAAGUGACGGUAACUAACCAGAAAGGGACGGCUAACUACGUGCCAGCAGCCGCGGUAAUACGUAGGUCCCGAGCGUUGUCCGGAUUUAUUGGGCGUAAAGCGAGCGCAGGCGGUUCUUUAAGUCUGAAGUUAAAGGCAGUGGCUUAACCAUUGUACGCUUUGGAAACAGGAGGACUUGAGUGCAGAAGGGGAGAGUGGAAUUCCAUGUGUAGCGGUGAAAUGCGUAGAUAUAUGGAGGAACACCGGUGGCGAAAGCGGCUCUCUGGUCUGUAACUGACGCUGAGGCUCGAAAGCGUGGGGAGCAAACAGA